UACAGAGGGUGCUAGCGUUGUUCGGAAUCAUUGGGCGUAAAGGGCUCGUAGGCGGUCCGUCACGUCGGGAGUGAAAACUCGGGGCUCAACCCCGAGCCUGCUUUCGAUACGGGCGGACUAGAGGUAGGUAGGGGAGAACGGAAUUCCUGGUGUAGCGGUGGAAUGCGCAGAUAUCAGGAGGAACACCGGUGGCGAAGGCGGUUCUCUGGGCCUUACCUGACGCUGAGGAGCGAAAGCGUGGGGAGCGAACAGG
Molecule: ribosomal RNA, 253 nt
Filed under: uncultured bacterium
Lineage: Bacteria
Description: partial 16S ribosomal RNA
Rfam family: Bacterial small subunit ribosomal RNA
Source: RNAcentral